UGGCACCGCCCCGCUCCUGACCCCGCCUCCAGCGCCGCGCGACUCCAGUUGCACCUGCGCUCACUGAGCCCGCACGGCCCCAGUGGUUCCGGCGCUUCUCAGCUGGUGGUGGGUCACCCCUGGCGCGUCCGGUUCUGUAUUUGGUAUGAUUUCACUUGUGCGCACCAUGCUGGCCUUCCUGCAUCUGAAAUUUCCCCCUUCCUCGACUCUGGAAAGAAGUCGUAUUUAACUUGCAUUUCUAGCAAUAAGAAGGAUAUGAAACCGCGGAAGCUCUCCGCGACAGCACACCAUUCCGACACCGAGAAAAAAAGCGCGCGAGACCCACCUACUCUGCACCUCUGCUCGCCGCCUGCGGGUCCGCUUCGGACUCGCACUCUGCAGUGCACGUGGACGAGUGUACCUUCAGCUUGCUCUGCAUUGCGCUCACCUGAGGAAACCCAGCUGGAUGAGCCCGACCAUUCUCCUCCGAGGCCUGAUGGGCUUCCGUUGGAAUCCUUGACACAUACGCAGAAAGAGCACUUCACACUCCUAAGCAGUCUCCAAGAGGGCAUGUCUCCCCGCUAUCAGAUAACUUCUCAGAUCCCUCUAGUUAAGCCUCCCAGAGGGAACCAAAACACCCAUCACCAAACCGCAGGCUCAUCACAUCCAUCCCCUGCCUUUCACUUUCUCUCCAGAAAGUAGGCCUUCGUAUUUCUUUUCUCCUAUCAAAUACAGUUGCUUCAGGGAACUGGAAUCCAUGCCUUUCUCCUGCAUUGUCAGUUUGCCCAUCUCCAUUGAAUAAUUUCCAAGAUCAUGCAAACACACUCUCUCUGUUCAUUAUAAAAGCAAAAGGCCUCUUUUACUCCAUCCCACCUCCCUAGGGACUCCACUAUUCCCUUAGUGACUGUGCCAGCACCUCAAUAUCAUCUUGUUUUAUUUCUUUUUCUCUCUUCCACCGAUUCCAUAAAAAUGUUCUUGCUGAGGUCACUUUU
This is a long non-coding RNA of Ictidomys tridecemlineatus (thirteen-lined ground squirrel), 971 nucleotides long. RefSeq lists it as uncharacterized. The record is from RefSeq and is a predicted model, not a curated record. NCBI's taxonomy places the organism in Eukaryota, Metazoa, Chordata, Mammalia, Rodentia, Sciuridae.